CAACAACCACUAGACCUGUGAGAAAGCCCUGCAGAGAUUAAAGGAGCUGAUUCUAUAUGCACAUAUUGGAGGAAGAAGAACAGAUUUAUCUAUUCUGACUUGCACCUGCUGACUAGUGAGACAAAGGGCCAAGAAGCAGGGGUGGAGAGACCUUCCUGUGAAGGCAGUGGAGGGCAGAGUCAGAGGUCCCAGGCUCCCAGACAGCUCACCAAGCAUUCCCAGUCCAAGGAACAUUCCCGCCUUCUUAUUCCAGGUUGCACAUAUUAAAGGAAUUGACAGAACCCCCACCUCAGCCACAGUGACCCAGACCAGAGGCCAGCGUGUCGACUGAUCCUCAGCCCCGAAGUCCUCCCAUGUCCAUGGCCUUACCUCUGACAUCUGAUUUCUUUCUGCUGCUGCGGUUGUCAGUGUACUUAACUUCUGGCUCUAUUUCAAUAAAUGAUUAUGAUGACCUCU
RNAcentral lists this long non-coding RNA (456 nucleotides) under Chinchilla lanigera (long-tailed chinchilla). Its description in RNAcentral is "lncRNA (ENSCLAG00000024999.1)". Lineage: Eukaryota; Metazoa; Chordata; Mammalia; Rodentia; Chinchillidae. The record is from RNAcentral.